UCGAGCGCGUAUUUAUACGAGCGGCAGACGGGUGAGUAACGCGUGGGAAUCUACCUUUUUCUACAGGAUAACGCAUGGAAACGUGUGCUAAUACUGUAUACGCCCUUUUGGGGAAAGAUUUAUUGGAGAGAGAUGAGCCCGCGUUGGAUUAGCUAGUUGGUGGGGUAAAGGCCUACCAAGGCGACGAUCCAUAGCUGGUCUGAGAGGAUGAUCAGCCACACUGGGACUGAGACACGGCCCAG
Molecule: ribosomal RNA, 242 nt
Filed under: uncultured bacterium
Lineage: Bacteria
Description: partial 16S ribosomal RNA
Rfam family: Bacterial small subunit ribosomal RNA
Source: RNAcentral